This 255-nucleotide ribosomal RNA is filed under the name uncultured bacterium. RNAcentral describes it as "partial 16S ribosomal RNA". It matches the Rfam family "Bacterial small subunit ribosomal RNA", at positions 524 to 776 of the family's 1533-position model. The record is from RNAcentral.
UACGGAGGGUGCAAGCGUUUAAUCGGAAUUACUGGGCGUAAAGCGUGCGCAGGCGGUCUGUUAAGACCGAUGUGAAAUCCCCGGGCUUAACCUGGGAACUGCAUUGGUGACUGGCAGGCUUUGAGUGUGGCAGAGGGAGGUAGAAUUCCACGUGUAGCAGUGAAAUGCGUAGAGAUGUGGAGGAAUACCGAUGGCGAAGGCAGCCUCCUGGGCCAACACUGACGCUCAUGCACGAAAGCGUGGGGAGCAAACAGG